CAGGCCCCAGGAUGGAGGGAGGGCCUGGGGUUCGCACUCAGCAUUACCUCCAUGGGCCCCCUGGGUUCUGCAGACGCGUGUGGCCUGACCUCACCCUUCAGCCCACACAAGUCCCUGAAAGCCCCUGGGGUCUUGAUGGCCUGGCUAGCCUAGCUCUCCAGCCCCCUGAUCCAGAGGGACCUGGAGAGUGCCAGGCCGAGGUGGGGAGGGGGCAGCCAGACUCAGUUUGGAAGGGACAGGGCUGGACCCCAGGGAUAGCCAUUUGGAAGGUCUUGGAGACGUCAGGACCGGGGCUUUAACAAGCUUGGAGUGUGGGUGGCCUGCAAGGGGAAGACCCCGCAGGCAACAGGGCCGCCCCAGGCCCGUGCCAAGCCUCAGUUUCCUCCUGGGCUACUUGGGGCGCCACGCCCGCCGCAGGGAGGCUGCGCCAGGAAGCGGGUCCUCUGUCAGGAGCCCAUUUUACAGACGAGAAAACCGAGGCUCAGCGAAGUCAGAGUCGGUCUGUUGUCCCUGUGCCUGCACCGGGGGGCUGCCGCCAUCCCGCGACUCCCUCAUGCCCGCGAAAUCGCGCCCACUCCUCUGGCUUCUGCUGCUGGAGUCCCCUCCCCACCAGAGACCCCUUGGCUACCCGGCCACCCCGAGAUUCCCGAGCACCGCCAGAGCUCCGCCGGUCCCAGGUCCGGAAGCCACCUGAAGACAUGCAACAGGGAGAAGAUGACAUGGGAUCUGGAAAACAGUGGCUCCAAACUAGAAUAGUGAAGGGUGGGCAAUGGGCAGUGGGACUGCCCAGCGGGCCAGGAGCAGGAGAGCAAGGCCCUGGCAGGGAACAUGGGGGGAAUGACUUGACUGCUGGAGAAUGUAAGGAUGUGAUAAAGGCAGACAAUGUGGGGACAAUAAGGCAAACAAACUCCAGGAAAAACAAAAGCCGUCCUAAGAUAAUGCAUUCCCCGCUCACUGCUUAGCCAUGCUGAGGUUCAUAUUUACAUACAGUCCUGAGAGACGCUCUUGACUGAACCAGCCUACAGACAAGCAGGAAAGCACGGUCACUGCUCCAGGACAGGACCUGAGUGUCACUGGCCUUGACUACAUGUUAGGCUCAGCUCCUUGCAAGAGUUGUCUGUGCUGACUGUCUCCACCUCUGCUCCUCCCAUGAAACUCCCCUUCAGGUCUUCCUCGCCUCCAAAUAACCCUGUUCUUCUCAACGUCCACGAUGACCGGAGCUGCCAAGGCCAGCGGUCCAGUCUUGAGCCUUGCCUGACCUCAGCAACAUGUGCC
RNAcentral lists this long non-coding RNA (1275 nucleotides) under Equus caballus (horse). RNAcentral's name for it is "lncRNA (ENSECAG00000048503.1)". The record is from RNAcentral. Lineage: Eukaryota; Metazoa; Chordata; Mammalia; Perissodactyla; Equidae.